AUUGAACGCUGGCGGCAGGCUUAACACAUGCAAGUCGAGCGGAGCGAGGGUGCUUGCACCUUAGCUUAGCGGCGGACGGGUGAGUAAUGCUUAGGAAUCUGCCUAUUAGUGGGGGACAACAUUCCGAAAGGAAUGCUAAUACCGCAUACGCCCUACGGGGAAAGCAGGGGAUCUUCGGACCUUGCGCUAAUAGAUGAGCCUAAGUCGGAUUAGCUAGUUGGUGGGGUAAAGGCCUACCAAGGCGACGAUCUGUAGCGGGUCUGAGAGGAUGAUCCGCCACACUGGGACUGAGACACGGCCCAGACUCCUACGGGAGGCAGCAGUGGGGAAUAUUGGACAAUGGGCGGAAGCCUGAUCCAGCCAUGCCGCGUGUGUGAAGAAGGCCUUUUGGUUGUAAAGCACUUUAAGCGAGGAGGAGGCUACUUAGAUUAAUACUCUGGGAUAGUGGACGUUACUCGCAGAAUAAGCACUGGCUAACUCUGUGCCAGCAGCCGCCGUAA
Molecule: ribosomal RNA, 500 nt
Filed under: uncultured bacterium
Lineage: Bacteria
Description: partial 16S ribosomal RNA
Rfam family: Bacterial small subunit ribosomal RNA
Source: RNAcentral